This 243-nucleotide long non-coding RNA is filed under the name Salvia miltiorrhiza (redroot sage). RNAcentral's name for it is "long non-coding RNA (SMIL_LNC013027)". The record is from RNAcentral. Lineage: Eukaryota; Viridiplantae; Streptophyta; Magnoliopsida; Lamiales; Lamiaceae.
UACUCCCUCCGUCCCCAAAAUAAGUUCCUCUUUGGGGACGGCACGGGUUUUAAGAAAAAUGGUAAAGUGUAUUGAUAGUGGAAAAAAAUAUGUUAUAAUUAGUAUUGGGAGUGGUGAAAAGGUGAAAAAAUGUUAUAAUUAGUAUUGAGAGUGGUGAAAAAGUGAAAAGUAAGAAUAAAUAAAGUAUUAUUAGUGGUGGGGUAGUUGUCCAAAAAUAAAAAGAAAGAAAGAUGAACUUAUUUG